AAGAAAAUGUGUCUAGUCUGUGUGACUAGAGGAAUCUAGACUAUAAAAACAGGUUCAGCUUCUUGCCAGACGCCGCUGACAUGGCGCUUCAUGGAGGUUGGCCUAGUGGCCUACGUCUCCUUUGGGCCUCGUGCCAGAAAGCUUGUAGUGAUUAUAGAUGUUAUUGAUCAAAAACAGGACUUUGGUUGAUGGAUCCUGCACUCAGGUAAGAAGAUAGGACAUGCCUUUCAAAUGCAUGCAACUCACUGACUUCAUCCUCAAGUUCCCACACAGUGCCCGCCAGAAGUACGUCCGACAAGCCUGGCAGAAGGCAGAUACAAAUACAAAAUGGGCAGCCACAAGAUGGGCCAAGAAAAUGGAAGCCAGAGAAAGGAAAGCUAAGAUCACAGAUUUUGAUCGUUUUAAAGUUAUGAAGGCAAAGAAAAUGAGGAACAGGAUAAUCAAGAAUGAAGUGAUGAAGCUUCAAAAAGCAGCUCUUCUGAUAGCUUCUCCCAAAAAAGCACCUGCUAAGGGUGCUGCUGCUGUUGCAGCGGCUGCUGCUAAAGUUCCAGCAAAAAAGAUGACCACUGCAGGCAAGAAGGCUGCAGCCCAGAGGGUUCCUGCCCAGAAAGCCACAGGCCAGAAGCUCAGAAGGGUCAAAAGGCUCCAGCCCAGAAAGCACCUGCUCCAAAGGCAUCCGGAAAGAAAGCAUAAGAGGCUAUAAUGAAAGUAAUAAAGGUUCUUUUUGACGUGUUGACAAAUGUAGAAAAAUAAAAAAAA
Molecule: RNA transcript, 759 nt
Organism: Otolemur garnettii (small-eared galago)
Lineage: Eukaryota; Metazoa; Chordata; Mammalia; Primates; Galagidae
Gene name: 60S ribosomal protein L14 pseudogene
Exons: 1
Source: RefSeq, a predicted model, not a curated record